Molecule: small nucleolar RNA, 80 nt
Organism: Oryzias melastigma (Indian medaka)
Lineage: Eukaryota; Metazoa; Chordata; Actinopteri; Beloniformes; Adrianichthyidae
Product: small nucleolar RNA snR60/Z15/Z230/Z193/J17
Source: Ensembl
UUGACACAGUGAUGACUGCAUAGUUCAACAGAUUUACUGUGAAGAAUACAUUUGUCUUUCGCUCCUAUCUGACGUGUCAG